Molecule: ribosomal RNA, 448 nt
Filed under: uncultured bacterium
Lineage: Bacteria
Description: bacterial SSU rRNA
Rfam family: Bacterial small subunit ribosomal RNA
Source: RNAcentral
CCAGACUCCUACGGGAGGCAGCAGUGGGGGAUAUUGGACAAUGGGGGGAACCCUGAUCCAGCGACGCCGCGUGAGUGAAGAAGUAUCUCGGUAUGUAAAGCUCUAUCAGCAGGGAAGAAAGAAAUGACGGUACCUGAGUAAGAAGCCCCGGCUAACUACGUGCCAGCAGCCGCGGUAAUACGUAGGGGGCAAGCGUUAUCCGGAAUUACUGGGUGUAAAGGGAGCGUAGGUGGCAUGGUAAGCCAGAAGUGAAAACCCGGGGCUCAACCCCGCGGAUUGCUUUUGAAACUGUCAGGCUGGAGUACAGGAGAGGUAAGCGGAAUUCCUAGUGUAGCGGUGAAAUGCGUAGAUAUUAGGAGGAACACCAGUGGCGAAGGCGGCUUACUGGACUGUAACUGACUCUGAGGCACGAAAGCGUGGGGAGCAAACAGGAUUAGAUACCCCAGUA